AUUUUUCAAAAUAGUAUAAUUGAUUUCGGCCCACUCAGCCUGAAGUCAAUAACGAAAAAAAAAGAAAAAUAAAAUAAAUAUUACAUACUUCCAACUUUUAUACCAUUUAUUUUUGACCAAACAAAUAAUAGAUGUAAAAAAAUUUCAACUCCACGGCUAUAUAUACAAACAAAUAACGAAAGAAAAGUUAUUUUUAUCUGAACUUUGG
Molecule: long non-coding RNA, 208 nt
Filed under: Ananas comosus (pineapple)
Lineage: Eukaryota; Viridiplantae; Streptophyta; Magnoliopsida; Poales; Bromeliaceae
Description: long non-coding RNA (ACOM_LNC004862)
Source: RNAcentral